This 479-nucleotide ribosomal RNA is filed under the name uncultured bacterium. RNAcentral describes it as "partial 16S ribosomal RNA". It matches the Rfam family "Bacterial small subunit ribosomal RNA", at positions 28 to 507 of the family's 1533-position model. The record is from RNAcentral.
GAUGAACGCUAGCGGGAGGCCUAACACAUGCAAGCCGAGCGGUAGAGAUUCUUCGGAAUCUUGAGAGCGGCGUACGGGUGCGGAACACGUGUGCAACCUGCCUUUAUCAGGGGGAUAGCCUUUCGAAAGGAAGAUUAAUACCCCAUAAUAUAUUUGAUGGCAUCAUUAGAUAUUGAAAGCUUUGGCGGAUAGAGAUGGGCACGCGCAAGAUUAGAUAGUUGGUGAGGUAACGGCUCACCAAGUCGAUGAUCUUUAGGGGGCCUGAGAGGGUGAUCCCCCACACUGGUACUGAGACACGGACCAGACUCCUACGGGAGGCAGCAGUGAGGAAUAUUGGACAAUGGGUUAGCGCCUGAUCCAGCCAUCCCGCGUGAAGGACGACGGCCCUAUGGGUUGUAAACUUCUUUUGUACGGGGAUAAACCUACUCUCGUGAGAGUAGCUGAAGUUACUGUACGAAUAAGCACCGGCUAACUCCGUG